This 253-nucleotide ribosomal RNA is filed under the name uncultured bacterium. Its description in RNAcentral is "partial 16S ribosomal RNA". It matches the Rfam family "Bacterial small subunit ribosomal RNA", at positions 524 to 776 of the family's 1533-position model. The record is from RNAcentral.
UACGUAGGGUGCGAGCGUUAAUCGGACUUACUGGGCGUAAAGCGUGCGCAGGCGGUUUUGUAAGCCAGAUGUGAAAGCCCCGGGCUUAACCUGGGAAUGGCAUUUGGGACUGCAAGGCUGGAGUGUGGCAGAGGAGACUGGAAUUCCUGGUGUAGCAGUGAAAUGCGUAGAUAUCAGGAGGAAUACCGAUGGCGAAGGCAGGUCUCUGGGCUGACACUGACGCUCAUGCACGAAAGCGUGGGGAGCAAACAGG